This is a non-coding RNA of Theobroma cacao (cacao), 3495 nucleotides long. The record is from RefSeq and is a predicted model, not a curated record. Lineage: Eukaryota; Viridiplantae; Streptophyta; Magnoliopsida; Malvales; Malvaceae.
AGACACACAGAGAAAAGGAACGAAGGUACGGCAUUUUCGCCAUUUUGCGGCAUAGUGAGUGGCUCUGUGGCACCCCGUAUUGGGUCACAGGCCCAAACAAGCCCUGAAAGUUUUAAUGCUUUUUAUCAAGCUUUAAGUUAAAGCCCGGCCCAACCGAAUUGCUGACAUUUGAAACCGCUAUAUAAUGGCGUCAACCUCUGCAACGAAAUGAGACCAACUUACGAAGAAAGGGGCUUUCAUCGAUUUGUGUACUUCAGACUUCACGGUCUCAUCCAACUUCGACUCUGGAACUGGAACUAGACAACCAUGUCUCCUUAACUUCCCCAUUUCUCCCCUCUAACUCAUUUCUAUGAUUAAAUCCGAAUUAGGGAUUUUGCCGGUGUUUUUAGGAUGGUGGGAAGAAGGAAGCCGCUGGUGCUCUCUUCCACUAAAAUUCUCGUCCACUCGGUACUGAGUUCCACGCGACUCGAUGAAACCGGCCCAACCAAUCUUUCUGCUGACGGCUUGCAUUUAAAGGCGGGAAUUCUUAGGUUUUCGAAGGACGAAAACGACAUUUCUGAUCCCAAGUUAGCUUCUCUCGACGAUUCUGCUUUGGUGGGGCUCUCUACUUCCGUGUUGAAGAGACUGUCAAUAGUAUCCGGCUCGCUGGUGAUUGUUAGAAACGUGGAGACAAAGAUACAAAGAAUUGCUUAUGCUGUUGUUUUGGAUCCUCCAAAUGCCCAUGUCGACACAUCUCAAAGCAAAGAACUCCUAUCCCAUUCUCCACAUGUAAUGCUUAAGUUUCCUGCGUACAGUUUUCCUCAAAAUGACUCUGUAUUAUUAGACUGUGACGUUGCCUAUAUAUCUCCUUUAUUAGCUUUUAACCUUAACCUGCACAUAUCAUGCUUGAGAUCUCUUGUCCAUGAAGGGAAAGAGACUUUAGCAUCUCUCUUUGAAGCUGAUGUGGAUGAUAAGGCUGGCAGGGAAGGCACUGAUACUUCUGUUGUCAGUCUGUGGUUGGAACCUUUGGGUCGACUGCCAAAAUAUGCAUCACAUUUGAGGGUUUCCUUUGUUAAGAUACCAGAAUGCAGUUCCCUGGAAUCUUUGAGAGGAAUUUCUUCUAUUGAAACUGAAGAUCGCCAAGAAAUGAUUGAUUCAGCAUUACACAAGUACUUUGAAGUUGAUAGAUAUUUAGCAGGGGGAGAUGUUUUCAGCAUUUUCUUAAAUUGGAACUGCAAUUCAUUCAUUUGCAUUCCUUGCUGUUCAAGAUUGCAAAACAGGAGUAAUAAUAUCAUCUAUUUCAAGGUUGUUGCAAUGGAGCCAUCAGAUGAAGCAGUUCUUCGAGUCAAUCGUACUCAGACUGCUCUAGUUCUUGGAGGGAGUGCUCCAUCUGCUGUUCCCCCUGAUAUGUUGAUUGCUGGAACAAAAGGUUUUGUGCCUUUGCAAGGGGACACAGUGAAGAUUUUAGCAUCCAUUCUUACACCACCUUUAUGCCUCUCUCCGCUUUCCUUGAACUUCAGAGUUUCAGUUUUACUACAUGGUCUCCCAGGGUGCGGGAAGAGGACCGUUGUUAGAUAUGUUGCUAAGAGACUGGGUCUACAUGUAAUUGAAUAUAGCUGCCACAAUCUGACAGCAUCUUCAGAGAAGAAAACCUCUGCUGCAUUGACUCAAGCUUUCAACAGUGCGCAAAGAUACUCACCAACAAUACUUCUACUUCGCCAUUUUGAUGUUUUUCGGAAUUUGGCCUCUCAUGAAGGUUCCCCAAGUGAUCAAAUUGGGCUUUCCUCUGAAGUUGCAUCAGUCAUCAGAGAGUUCACUGAGCCAGAUGAAGAUGGUUAUGCUGAAGACAUAUCAAAUGGUGAUUUUCCUGUAAAGGACACUGGAAAUGUGGGUAGGCAUCAAGUGAUGUUAGUUGCAGCUGCUGAUGGUUCUGAAGGUCUGCCACCAGCUAUUAGGCGUUGUUUCACCCAUGAAGUAAGCAUGGAUCCCUUGACUGAAGAACAAAGGGCUGAAAUGUUGUCCCAGUCACUGCAAGGUGUUGCUGAACUCCUUUCUAAUACUUGCUUAAAGGAAUUUGUGAAGGACAUAGUAGGACAGACAUCUGGCUUCAUGCCUCGGGAUUUGCAUGCUUUAAUUGCUGAUGCCGGUGCAAACUUAGUCCCCAGGAGCAAUUUUCAAACUGACGAAGCAGAAUCGUCACAAUCAGAUGGUCCUCUUAGAGUUAAAGCAGUACAGGGUACGUCAAGCAAUACUGCAGCUUAUACUAUGGGGAAAGAGGACUUGGCAAAAGCAUUGGAACGAUCGAAGAAGAGGAAUGCCUCUGCAUUAGGUGCUCCAAAGGUUCCUAAUGUGAAAUGGGAAGAUGUUGGUGGGCUGGAGGAUGUGAAGAAAUCAAUUUUGGACACUGUCCAGUUACCUCUCCUGCAUAAGGAUUUGUUUUCAUCUGGCUUGCGCAAGCGUUCUGGUGUUCUUCUCUAUGGUCCUCCUGGAACAGGGAAAACUUUGUUGGCAAAAGCUGUAGCAACUGAGUGUUCCUUAAAUUUCCUUAGUGUAAAAGGGCCUGAACUAAUUAACAUGUACAUAGGAGAGUCAGAGAGGAAUGUUCGAGACAUUUUCCAGAAGUCUUGCAGGCUAGAUCAGCGCGGCCAUGUGUCAUCUUCUUUGAUGAACUUGAUUCUCUUGCUCCUGCUCGUGGUGCUUCUGGGGAUUCUGGGGGUGUUAUGGACAGAGUGGUUUCUCAGAUGCUUGCAGAGAUUGAUGGCCUUAAUGAUUCUACACAGGUUGUUUAUGCUACUUGUUACUAGAAAUACUAUAUUCCACUGCUUUCUGUCCAAAUAGCAUUGAAACUAGUCCUCUGUCCGGUUUUCCAGGACCUAUUUAUUAUAGGAGCAAGCAACAGACCAGAUCUUAUUGACCCAGCUCUUCUAAGGCCUGGCAGAUUUGACAAACUGCUAUAUGUUGGAGUCAAUUCUGAUGCAUCUUACAGAGAGCGAGUUCUCAAAGCACUUACAAGGAAGUUUAGAUUGCACGAAGAUGUAUCCCUUUACUCAAUUGCAAAGAGAUGCCCCCCAAACUUCACUGGUGCAGAUAUGUAUGCCUUAUGUGCAGAUGCUUGGUUUCAUGCUGCAAAGCGCAAGGUGUUGAGUUCAGAUUCAGAUUCUUCUUGCACAGGUCAAGCUGACUCCAUUGUUGUACAAUAUGAUGAUUUUAUGAAGGUGUUGGGAGAGCUUUCCCCAUCCCUUUCCAUGGCCGAGCUUAAGAAGUAUGAAAUGCUUCGAGAUCAGUUUGAGGGGUCUUCGAGCUGAAUCUGUGGUCAAUUCUACAAGUAUGUAUUGCAAAAAUACAAGCUAAAAAGAAAAAAAAGCCAAUAGUUUAGAUCAAUCUUUAUGAUAGAUGAAACUGUAUACAAAGCUGAAAUUUUGUAUCAUUGUCAAUGUUACACAGUAGAAUAUUCAAAUAAAAUGCUUGAUUCUAGAGAUUGGAGCAUUCAUUUUCUUAACAGUAUUUCAGAUUCCA